Long non-coding RNA from Harpia harpyja (harpy eagle), 1553 nucleotides. RefSeq lists it as uncharacterized. The transcript is spliced from 2 exons. NCBI's taxonomy places the organism in Eukaryota, Metazoa, Chordata, Aves, Accipitriformes, Accipitridae. The record is from RefSeq and is a predicted model, not a curated record.
CCGCUGCUGCCGCCGCCGCCGCCGCCGGCGGGGUCCCGCCUGCCGGCUGAGAGGGGAAGACAGGAGAGACCCGGCGGCUGCGCCCAGCCCGCGGAGCCCACCGGCCGUCCCCUCUAGGCGUUGCCAGCAUCCAGAAAUCAGGGCACAAAAGAAACCCCAGCCCAUAGGUGCACGUUGCGGUCCAAUUUAACCCAGUGGCAGAGGAGUUAAAAUGCCAGUGAGGCUGCUCGCUUUCCGCGGGGACAGGGCUGGAGCGGAGGGAAGGAGAAGAAGCAGGGCCGAGGUUUCGUCGUGUCCGCAGCUCAGCCAAGCUGUUGUUUUAAAAGAGCAAUAAAAAUGAAUUAUGACUAAACGCCUUCUCACUUAAUGGUUUUAGACGGGGAUCCCCAGCCCCGGCAAAUACGUAAGAGGAUUUUUAUUUGUGCAUGUGUUCCUGCAAUUGAUCUCUUUGAUGACAUUCUCAUUCAUAGAAAGAGUUUGAUUUAUGACUUUCGGAAGAAUUGCGUUCAGCCCUUCCAGCUAUAACCCGCGCAUCCCAGCUCCACAACGUGUUGCAGGGCUGGGAGACAACACUCCUCGCAUGGACGGGCGGUAGCAGAGCCCCGUCCACAAACCCCCGCUCAAGACCUACUCGCCUGUGUACUGUAACCACACGCACUCACGCGCGUUCACACGCAUUCACAUGCACUCACACGCACAGAGGGAGCCGCGAUCGCACCCGCCCGGGAUCCCCUGGCCCGGAGCGGCAGAGCCCCGCUGGCAUCUGUUGCUCGGUUUUAGCCCGAAGGACGGGGCUCACCCUCCUUCUCUUUGGCGCCCGGCAACGCCGCUAGCCGGGUGGCAGGCAAUUUGGUGGAGAUUUCCGAAAGCCCAUCUUUACUGCCGCCAGCAGAGAGUGGGGAGCCCCGAGGAAAUUGUAACUUGAAAGUCAGAGUUUCCCCUUUUCGUUAUCAGUCCUUCGCCCCGCAAGAAUGUUUAAACAGAAAAAUAUCUUCGGCUGUGCUCCCUGCACCGCCCCUCAAAAGGACCGAGCGGAGGGGCUGAUUCCUCUCUGAAUGCUUUUUUGUCCCCCUGCGUUUCUGCCACCCUUUUGAUUUUACACGCACUAACUUCUCCAUUUCCUCUCCUUCUAGGGCUGAUUUCUUGGACGGCUCAGCACAUGAGAAGUAACCAAGCGCAUUCUCUGUGGGCUCUCAUAUUUUUUAAGAUACGUUUCCUGAAACAGCUUGCUGGGUGCUAAGCACUACUUUCUAGAAAAACAGGAUUAUUUCCCAAAAAACGCCUUUCGUGUACGUAACAGGCUAGUUUCUGCAGGAGACACUUAUCCUACUGAGCCUCUCUUACAUUUUGCCUGUAGCAGAGAAAGUGCUCGUUCACGCUUUUGUUACAGCUCAGCAUUUCCAAGCUUUGUAUCCUCACAGAGAUAAGAUGCUACAUUUAUACAUUCAAAGGAAGAGGUCUCCAUCAAAGCUGUGAAUGGUUUUAGUUUCUUUGGUUUGUUUUUUUUUUUUUUUUAACUUGUGAGAACCCUUGCAAUAAAGAAUUUGAACGUG